RNAcentral lists this ribosomal RNA (295 nucleotides) under uncultured bacterium. RNAcentral describes it as "partial 16S ribosomal RNA". It matches the Rfam family "Bacterial small subunit ribosomal RNA", at positions 775 to 1067 of the family's 1533-position model. The record is from RNAcentral.
GGAUUAGAUACCCUGGUAGUCCACGCCGUAAACGAUGUGUGCUAGCUGUCGGAUGUUCAGCAUUCGGUGGCGGAGCGAAAGUAUUAAGCACACCGCCUGGGGAGUACGGCCGCAAGGUUAAAACUCAAAGGAAUUGACGGGGACCCGCACAAGCGGUGGAGCAUGUUGUUUAAUUCGAAGCAACGCGAAGAACCUUACCCACACUUGACAUACCUCUUGGGACUUUCAGAGAUGAUUGUCUUCGGUUCGGCCGGGGAGUGUACAGGUGCUGCAUGGCUGUCGUCAGCUCGUGCCG